Molecule: ribosomal RNA, 264 nt
Filed under: uncultured bacterium
Lineage: Bacteria
Description: partial 16S ribosomal RNA
Rfam family: Bacterial small subunit ribosomal RNA
Source: RNAcentral
GAACGGUGUCUUCGGACAUAGUGGCGCACGGGUGCGUAACACGUAUGCAACCUACCUUACAUUGGGGGAUAGCCUUUCGAAAGGGAGAUUAAUACCGCAUAAGACAGUAACUAGGCAUCUAGUAGCUGUUAAAGAUUUAUCGAUGUAAGCUGGGCAUGCGUCCAAUUAGCUAGUUGGUGAGGUAAUGGCUCACCAAGGCUAUGAUUGGUAGGGGAACUGAGAGGUCAAUCCCCCACACUGGCACUGAGAUACGGGCCAGACUCC